AUUGAACGCUGGCGGCAGGCCUAACACAUGCAAGUCGAACGGUAACAGGAAGCAGCUUGCUGCUUUGCUGACGAGUGGCGGACGGGUGAGUAAUGUCUGUGAAACUGCCUGAUGGAGGGGGAUAACUACUGGAAACGGUAGCUAAUACCGCAUAACGUCGCAAGACCAAAGGGGGGGACCUUCGGGCCUCUUGCCAUCGGAUGUGCCCAGAUGGGAUUAGCUAGUAGGUGGGGUAACGGCUCACCUAGGCGACGAUCCCUAGCUGGUCUGAGAGGAUGACCAGCCACACUGGAACUGAGACACGGUCCAGACUCCUACGGGAGGCAGCAGUGGGGAAUAUUGCACAAUGGGCGAAAGCCUGAUGCAGCCAUGCCGCGUGUAUGAAGAAGGCCUUCGGGUUGUAAAGUACUUUCAGCGGGGAGGAAGGGAGUAAAGUUAAUACCUUUGCUCAUUGACGUUACCCGCAGAAGAAGCACCGGCUAACUCCGUG
RNAcentral lists this ribosomal RNA (490 nucleotides) under uncultured bacterium. Its description in RNAcentral is "partial 16S ribosomal RNA". It matches the Rfam family "Bacterial small subunit ribosomal RNA", at positions 30 to 507 of the family's 1533-position model. The record is from RNAcentral.